RNAcentral lists this transfer RNA (72 nucleotides) under Camelus bactrianus (Bactrian camel). It matches the Rfam family "tRNA". From Rfam's summary of the family: Transfer RNA (tRNA) molecules are approximately 80 nucleotides in length. Lineage: Eukaryota; Metazoa; Chordata; Mammalia; Artiodactyla; Camelidae. RNAcentral also lists the same sequence under 2 other names. The record is from Rfam by way of RNAcentral.
GAGGGUGUAGCUCAGUGGUAGAGUGCAUACUUAGAAUGCACGAGCUCCUGGGUUCAAUCCCCAGUACUUCCA